GGGUGUCUUGGGUGGCUAGCGAGUUUACUUUGAAAAAAUUAGAGUGCUUAACACAGGCUAACGCCUGAAUACUCGUGCAUGGAAUAAUAGAAUAAGACCACGGNUCUAAACGCNAAGCNCUUUNGAAAGAUCUUUAUGUCAAGAAUGUUUGUUACCNAAGCGCUCCCGCCCCAGCACCGGUAANGAG
RNAcentral lists this ribosomal RNA (187 nucleotides) under Plectus sp. Its description in RNAcentral is "partial small subunit ribosomal RNA". Lineage: Eukaryota; Metazoa; Nematoda; Chromadorea; Plectida; Plectidae. The record is from RNAcentral.